AUGAGACGGGCUCUUAUUUAUGAAUUCAUGCCUAACGAGUCACUGGAGAAAUACAUAUUCUCUGAUGACUCUAAUAUUUUUGAGAAUCUUCUAGUACCAGACAAGCUGCUAGAUAUUGUUGUCGGCAUCGCCAGAGGAAUAGAGUAUUUGCAUCAAGGGUGCAACCAGCGCAUCCUCCACUUUGACAUUAAGCCUCACAAUAUCCUGCUUGACUACAACUUCAAUCCAAAGAUCUCAGACUUUGGCCUUGCAAAGCUGUGCGCAAGGGACCAAAGCAUCGUCACCUUAACAGCAGCAAGAGGCACAAUGGGCUAUAUUGCACGAGAGCUAUAUUCUCGGAACUUUGGGGGAGUAUCGUAG
RNAcentral lists this ribosomal RNA (360 nucleotides) under Triticum aestivum (bread wheat). Its description in RNAcentral is "partial small subunit ribosomal RNA". Lineage: Eukaryota; Viridiplantae; Streptophyta; Magnoliopsida; Poales; Poaceae. The record is from RNAcentral.